GGUUAAAGUAGCUGGUUAGAGCGCACGCCUGAUAAGCGUGAGGUCGGUGGUUCGAGUCCACUUAGGCCC
RNAcentral lists this transfer RNA (69 nucleotides) under Staphylococcus aureus. RNAcentral describes it as "tRNA-Ile(gat)". The stretch from base 9 to 62 matches the Rfam family "tRNA", at positions 8 to 63 of the family's 71-position model. From Rfam's summary of the family: Transfer RNA (tRNA) molecules are approximately 80 nucleotides in length. Their secondary structure includes four short double-helical elements and three loops (D, anti-codon, and T loops). Further hydrogen bonds mediate the characteristic L-shaped molecular structure. tRNAs have two regions of fundamental functional importance: the anti-codon, which is responsible for specific mRNA codon recognition, and the 3' end, to which the tRNAs corresponding amino acid is attached (by aminoacyl-tRNA synthetases). tRNAs cope with the degeneracy of the genetic code in two manners: having more than one tRNA (with a specific anti-codon) for a particular amino acid; and 'wobble' base-pairing, i.e. permitting non-standard base-pairing at the 3rd anti-codon position. The record is from RNAcentral. Lineage: Bacteria; Bacillati; Bacillota; Bacilli; Caryophanales; Staphylococcaceae.